CAAACAGUAGUUUAAUGAUUAGAAAAUAAUAGUAUUGGAAACUAUUGAUCCAAUUUGUUUAAUAUUGGUUGUUUGA
Molecule: transfer RNA, 76 nt
Filed under: Ennucula tenuis
Lineage: Eukaryota; Metazoa; Mollusca; Bivalvia; Nuculida; Nuculidae
Description: tRNA-Pro
Source: RNAcentral